GCUUCGAUGGUUCAGUGGUUAAGACGCUGAGUUGUGGCCUCAGAGACCCGGGUUCGAAUCCUGGUCGUGGCA
Desmophyllum pertusum is the source of this 72-nucleotide non-coding RNA. The record is from the annotation of a GenBank genome assembly. Lineage: Eukaryota; Metazoa; Cnidaria; Anthozoa; Scleractinia; Caryophylliidae.